UCAAAAUCAUCAUGAUCCAAGGCCAACAAAAGUCCACAAGGUUAAAAAAAAUAAAAAUUCAAUUAAAUGAAAUAAAAAUGCAUAAAAGGUAUUUUAAAAUGAUUUUUAAAAUGGAAUAAAAAUGGGAAAUCUACAAAGUCCUUCAAAACACUAAAUAAAUGGCCAAGAAAAUUAUGGAAGGUUGUAAAUAAAAUGAGAAACAUAUAAUAAAAUUUUCAGAAUUAAAAAAUGCACAAAAGUAUUUUUAAACCAAUUAAUACAAAGGAGAAAAGAGAAAAUUCCCA
RNAcentral lists this long non-coding RNA (284 nucleotides) under Lathyrus oleraceus (garden pea). Its description in RNAcentral is "Pisum sativum (pea) long non-coding RNA (PSAT_LNC008378)". Lineage: Eukaryota; Viridiplantae; Streptophyta; Magnoliopsida; Fabales; Fabaceae. The record is from RNAcentral.